GGCACGGUGGCGUAGUGGUUAGCACUGCUGCCUCACAGCAAGAAGGUCAUGGGUUUGAAUCCGGGCUGGUGCCU
This is a non-coding RNA of Gymnothorax javanicus (giant moray), 74 nucleotides long. NCBI's taxonomy places the organism in Eukaryota, Metazoa, Chordata, Actinopteri, Anguilliformes, Muraenidae. The record is from the annotation of a GenBank genome assembly.